RNAcentral lists this transfer RNA (85 nucleotides) under Felis catus (domestic cat). It matches the Rfam family "tRNA". Rfam says of the family: Transfer RNA (tRNA) molecules are approximately 80 nucleotides in length. Their secondary structure includes four short double-helical elements and three loops (D, anti-codon, and T loops). Further hydrogen bonds mediate the characteristic L-shaped molecular structure. tRNAs have two regions of fundamental functional importance: the anti-codon, which is responsible for specific mRNA codon recognition, and the 3' end, to which the tRNAs corresponding amino acid is attached (by aminoacyl-tRNA synthetases). tRNAs cope with the degeneracy of the genetic code in two manners: having more than one tRNA (with a specific anti-codon) for a particular amino acid; and 'wobble' base-pairing, i.e. permitting non-standard base-pairing at the 3rd anti-codon position. Lineage: Eukaryota; Metazoa; Chordata; Mammalia; Carnivora; Felidae. The record is from Rfam by way of RNAcentral.
GCCUGGGUGGCUCAGUUGGUUGAGCGUCCGACUUCGACUCAGGUCAUGAUCUCAUGGUCUGUGGGUUCGAGCCCUGCAUUGGGCU